Molecule: long non-coding RNA, 1074 nt
Filed under: Canis lupus familiaris (dog)
Lineage: Eukaryota; Metazoa; Chordata; Mammalia; Carnivora; Canidae
Description: lncRNA (ENSCAFG00000052533.1)
Source: RNAcentral
AUGCACGUUGUCCCCCACAUACUGUCCCCCGGUGUACGGUGUUCCUCAGUGCACGCUGUCCCCUGGUGCACACUGUCCCUCGCACGCUGUCCCCCGGUGCACGCUGUCCCUUGCAUGCUGUCCCCCGGUGCAUGCUGUCCCUCACACGCUGUCCCCCAGUGCACGCUGUCCCCCAGUGCACGCUGUCCCCCGGUGCACGCUGUCCCCCGGUGCACGCUGUCCCUCGGUGCACGCUGUCCCCUGGUGCACACUGUCCCUUGCACGCUGUCCCUCAUUGCACUUGUACCCUGGUGUACGCUGUCCCUAGCACGCUGUCCCCCGGUGCACGCUGUCCCCCGGUGCAUGCUGUCCCUCAGUGCAUGCUGUCCCCCGGUGCAUACUGUCCCUCGCACGCUGUCCCUCAGUGCACGCUGUCCCCCGGUGCACGCUGUCCCCCGGUGUAUGCUGUCUCUCGCACGCUGUCCCCCGGUGCACGCUGACCCUCGCACGCUGUCCCCCGGUGCACGCUGUCCCUCAGUGCAUGCUGUCUCCCAGUGGAUGCUGUCCCUCGUUGCACGCUGUCUCUCGUUGCACGCUGUCCCUUGGUGCACGCUGUCCCUUGCACGCUGUCCCUCGUUGCACGCUGUCCCCCGUUGCACGCUGUCCCUUGCACGCUGUCCCCCGGUGCACGCUGUCCCUCAGUGCAUGCUGUCUCCCGGUACACGCUGUCCCUCGCACGCUGUCUCUCGUUGCACGCUGUCCCCCGUUGCACGCUGUCCCUUGCACGCUGUCCCCCGGUGCACGCUGUCCCUCGCACGCUGUCUCUCGUUGCACGCUGUCCCUUGUUGCACACUGUCCCUCGCACGCUGUCCCUCGGUGCACGCUGUCCCUCGGUGCACGUUGUCCCUCGCACGCUGUCCCCUGGUGCCUCACGCACGCGGCCGUGGGUACCCGGCAGGUCUUGGGCUCAGAACCGCGGCCUGCAGCCCACCCCGGAGUGCCAGCGCCCCCAGUCCCCAGGCCCGGGCUGGGGCGAGUCCGAGCUUCACGCGGGACGGGCCGACGGUUCCGGGAACACAAUCUCGGAGGACGUGA